GGGAGCUUAGAUGUGGAAGCUCUUUGGAAACCAAGAAACACUCUGCAAAUGAAAAGGGAAGCAGAAGUUCUCCUUAGCUGAUUUUUCUUCUUGCCUUAUACUGGGUUCUUUAACACCAGAACAAAAAUAAAUAAAUAAAAGAAUCUUCCAGAAAUUCAUGAAGAGACUUCAGGUCAGGAAAGCCUGAACUUUCUCAUCCAACACCUGUUCAAGUCGGAGGAUGCUGAUUAAUUCAUGAUGGAAAGGUAUCAAUUUCACAGCCCAGACCUCUACAUUCUUGAAAUGCUCUUCUCAUGGGAGACAUUAAAUAAGCUUUGAAUUAACUGUUUCCUUCUUACUACUCUAGAAAGUAUCACGGCUGACUUUUGAUCACUCUCAUGGCUUGACUCAGAUCAUCUUCAUGGGUUUGAAUCAUUAUUCUGGCCAAAGGGUUGUAAUAUUGGCAUUAUCCAGGUCUGAGUCACAUGUUCAUCUCAGAAUCAGAUGGAAUGUACAGGGUGUACCAUGAACAAUUCUGACAUGUGAUUUAAUCUAUGUGUGACUACAUUUUAAAUACAUUUGGGAAGGAUUGAACAAUGAAGUGGAGCCCAUCAAUAUUGGUACUGAAAAUGAGACAGACCUUGUAUUGAAGACAGCGUAACCCCCAAGAGGAAAGGAGCUUGGAGCCCUGAAUCAGAGUAGAAGACAGGCUGAAUGAAUACCAGCCUUGGACUGUUAUGUGAAUGAAAAACAAGUUUUGAGAUUUGUGUGGUUUAUUUAUUAUAGUUACUGUUAUUAUUAAAGUUUUUCACUGCUUU
This 797-nucleotide non-coding RNA is filed under the name Pan troglodytes (chimpanzee). The record is from RNAcentral. Lineage: Eukaryota; Metazoa; Chordata; Mammalia; Primates; Hominidae.